ACGCGAAGAACCUUACCUGGACUCGAAAUUUUGUUGACAGUCUCAGAGAUGAGAUCUUCCCGCAAGGGACAGCAGAAUAGGUGCUGCAUGGCUGUCGUCAGCUCGUGUCGUGAGAUGUUGGGUUAAGUCCCGCAACGAGCGCAACCCUUACCCUUAGUUGCUAAUCCGCAAGGAAAGCACCCUAAGGGAACUGCCUCGGAUAACGAGGAGGAAGGUGGGGAUGACGUCAAGUCCUCAUGGCCUUUAUGCCCAGGGCUACACACGUGCUACAAUGGCCGGUACAAAACGUCGCAAACCCGCGAGGGGGAGCCAAUCGCAAAAAACCGGUCUCAGUUCGGAUUGCAGGCUGCAACUCGCCUGCAUGAAGCUGGAAUCGCUAGUAAUCGCGUAUCAGAACGACGCGGUGAAUACGUUCCCGGGCCUUGUA
This 427-nucleotide ribosomal RNA is filed under the name uncultured Acidobacterium sp. RNAcentral describes it as "bacterial SSU rRNA". It matches the Rfam family "Bacterial small subunit ribosomal RNA", at positions 959 to 1385 of the family's 1533-position model. The record is from RNAcentral. Lineage: Bacteria; Pseudomonadati; Acidobacteriota; Terriglobia; Terriglobales; Acidobacteriaceae.